AACCGCGGACAGCUCAUUAUAUCAGUAGUAAUCCGCAAGACUCGUAUCUUUAAUGGAUACCUGUAGCAAAUCUAGAGCUAAUACGCUUUCAAGUUUCGUUACGCUAUAUUUAAUAAAGCGUGCGGACAGCACUUAUUAGAACCGUAUACCCGAGGUAUAUCAAGGUGACUCUGGAUAUUCAGUUGCUAAGCGCUAUGGUCAAGUACCAUCGCUAGUUUAUGCGAGCUUCUGCCCUAUCAGCCAGAUGGUUAGAUAAAGGCUAACAAUGGCUUUGACGGGUAACGGGGAAUCUGGGUUCGAUUCCCGAAAGGGAGCCCGAUAAACGGCUACCACAUUCAAGGAAGGCGGCAGGCGCGGAAAUUAACCUAACACCAGCUCUGUGAGUUAGUGACCAAAAAUCUUGAUGUGAGGUUCUUAACGGAGCCCUCAAUUGGGGGGAUCGGGGGGGCC
RNAcentral lists this ribosomal RNA (450 nucleotides) under Anilocra dimidiata. RNAcentral describes it as "bacterial SSU rRNA". It matches the Rfam family "Eukaryotic small subunit ribosomal RNA", at positions 85 to 528 of the family's 1831-position model. Lineage: Eukaryota; Metazoa; Arthropoda; Malacostraca; Isopoda; Cymothoidae. The record is from RNAcentral.